GACUCUGUAGCUCAGUUGGUGAGAUCGCUGCACCAGAAUCGCAGGGUGGCAGGUUCGAUUCCUGCCAGGGACC
RNAcentral lists this transfer RNA (73 nucleotides) under Paramuricea clavata. It matches the Rfam family "tRNA". From Rfam's summary of the family: Transfer RNA (tRNA) molecules are approximately 80 nucleotides in length. Lineage: Eukaryota; Metazoa; Cnidaria; Anthozoa; Malacalcyonacea; Plexauridae. The record is from Rfam by way of RNAcentral.